This 606-nucleotide ribosomal RNA is filed under the name uncultured bacterium. Its description in RNAcentral is "bacterial SSU rRNA". It matches the Rfam family "Bacterial small subunit ribosomal RNA", at positions 275 to 863 of the family's 1533-position model. The record is from RNAcentral.
GAUGAGGUAGCCGGCUCUGAGAGGGUGAACCGGCCACAGCUGGGAUUGAGAGGGCGGCCCAGACUCACUUGGGGAGGCAGCACGUCGAGAGAUCUUCCACAAUGGACGAAAGUGGGGAUGGAUUGGGCAAUGGGUGAGUGAUGAAGGCCCUACGGGUUGUAAAACUGAAUCAAUCGAGAAGAACCGCCGGGAUGCCAAUACCAAAGAGGUGAAGAGUUAUAUCCAGAGGAAGCUCCGGCUAACUCCGUGCCAGCAGCCGCGGUAAUACGGGGGGAGCAAGCGUUGUCCGGAAUUAUUGGGGGUAAAAAGCGCGUACGGGGUUAGUUCAAUGGAAUUAGAAAUCGCAGGGGUCUCCCGUGCAAUAGAUUUAGAUAUAGCGUGAAUUGAGUAUAUGAGAGAGGGAAGGAAUUUUCGGUGUGUCGGUGGAAAGUGUGGAGAUCUGGAGGAACACCGCAGGGGAGGGCAGCGCUUCGGCGCACAAUAGACGCGGUCACGUGAAAAAGCGGGGACCAAACAGGAGAAGAGACCCCGGUAGAGCACGCGCUAAAAGAUGGGUAUUGGGUUUCGGGAGUUUCCACCCUAUCGGAGCCGCAGCUAACGCGUUAA